Molecule: ribosomal RNA, 460 nt
Filed under: uncultured bacterium
Lineage: Bacteria
Description: partial 16S ribosomal RNA
Rfam family: Bacterial small subunit ribosomal RNA
Source: RNAcentral
CCUACGGGAGGCAGCAGUGAGGAAUAUUGGUCAAUGGACGAGAGUCUGAACCAGCCAAGUAGCGUGAAGGAUGACUGCCCUAUGGGUUGUAAACUUCUUUUAUAUGGGAAUAAAACGUUCCACGUGUGGGAUUUUGUAUGUACCAUAUGAAUAAGGAUCGGCUAACUCCGUGCCAGCAGCCGCGGUAAUACGGAGGAUCCGAGCGUUAUCCGGAUUUAUUGGGUUUAAAGGGAGCGUAGGUGGAUUGUUAAGUCAGUUGUGAAAGUUUGCGGCUCAACCGUAAAAUUGCAGUUGAAACUGGCAGUCUUGAGUACAGUAGAGGUGGGCGGAAUUCGUGGUGUAGCGGUGAAAUGCUUAGAUAUCACGAAGAACUCCGAUUGCGAAGGCAGUUCACUGGACUGCAACUGACACUGAGGCUCGAAAGUGUGGAUAUCAAACAGGAUUAGAUACCCUAGUAGUC